Non-coding RNA from Chlorocebus sabaeus (green monkey), 1257 nucleotides. Lineage: Eukaryota; Metazoa; Chordata; Mammalia; Primates; Cercopithecidae. The record is from RefSeq and is a predicted model, not a curated record.
UGGGGAGUGCUCUGUAUUCAAUUCGGUCACUUUCUUUAAAGAGAAAUAAGUAAUGGCCCUUCAACACAGAGACCUGGAAAUAGAGGAGCAAAAUGACCCUUCCAGAACAGAAGCAUAUCCCAACUUGUCCGGUCAAGGGAAUCAUCCUCUGGAGUGCUUUUGGUGAAUUACACGAUAUCCACCAGCCUUUGUGAGAAGUCAUUUUGUUGGCAGAUGACUGCUCUAACAUCCUGUGCACCUAAGGUCCCAGAGAGUCACUAUCCUAGAACUGCCUGGAAUUCUGUAGGCCUAAGUGAUAAAACCACACUCUCCAACUUCCGUAGCCUUCUUCUUACUCCUGAUCAGAUGCUGACUUCUUAGUAAAACAGUUAUCUCCAUUGUGACAAGUAUGACAGCUGCAAAUGAACUUGGCCCUUGUUAAUGGAUGAGGAAGCUCGAUUCUGAUUCCCAGCUCUGCAGUCAACGAUAUCUGUGAAGUGAUUUUUGAACUGUUGAAGUGCUAAGGUGUUUAUGCCAUCACAAAAAUGUAAAGAAUGUCAGAAGAACUCCCCUCAGCCUUAUCGUACCUGCUCUUUAUUGUCUGGCUUUGCACACAGGAUAAUGAGUUUGAUAGCACAAUUAUAUAUUUACUUCUUAGGAAAUCAGUCCUAUAAGACAGUAAGUCACAUGGAGGCCAAACCCUACCUAUUUAGCUCAUCACUAUAUUCUCAUUUGUUCAUUCUGUCCCUGGCACAACACACCUAGAAAGGAAUAGAUGGAAGGAGGGAGGAAGGAAUGGGGGAGAGUUUUGUGAAGUUUUUUAUUAGUCUUUAAGGGGACACAAUUCUCAUUGGUAUGAAACAGUUGGACUUAGUUUAAACUUUGGGAUUGUUUUGAACACUUUCUCUUUUUGGUAUACUAUAUGUGCUUUGAUGCAUAUGAAAAUGUAUUGUACAAAAUUAACAAUAUUAUGGUUUCAGAUACCCUUUAUAGACUAAUUAUAACACAGCAAUAUGCAUCUAUAAGCUUCAUCAUCUGUACAUAAUUUAGGUGUCUGAUAUAUAACACGGAGUUGAAGACCACAAAGGACUUUCAGUUUACUGCAGAAUACCUAGUUGUGGAUUUUCAACUUUAUAAUAUUAUAGCUCUCUUUUCUUUUCUUCUUCUCCAAAUAAGUUGUUAGUUAGCAAGCAAGUACUGAACUGAAAGGGGUGCAGGGAACUGGACUGAGCACUACGAGAAGAUAUAAACUAAUAAAAAGAAAGAAUCUGAUUGCAA